GCCGAAGUGGUGAAACUGGUAUACACGCUACCUUGAGGUGGUAGUGGGGAAACCCGUGCGGGUUCGAGUCCCGCCUUCGGCACCA
This 85-nucleotide transfer RNA is filed under the name Betaproteobacteria bacterium. RNAcentral's name for it is "tRNA-Leu". It matches the Rfam family "tRNA". From Rfam's summary of the family: Transfer RNA (tRNA) molecules are approximately 80 nucleotides in length. Their secondary structure includes four short double-helical elements and three loops (D, anti-codon, and T loops). Lineage: Bacteria; Pseudomonadati; Pseudomonadota; Betaproteobacteria. The record is from RNAcentral.